CGCUGGCGGCACGCCUAACACAUGCAAGUCGAACGAGGUAUUUAUACCUAGUGGCAGACGGGUGCGUAACAUGUGGGAAUCUGCCUUUUGGUUCGGAACAACAUGGGGAAACCUGUGCUAAUACCGGAUAAGUCCUUACGGAGAAAGAUUUAUCGCCGAAAGAUGAGCCCGCACUUGAUUAGCUUGUUGGUAAGGUAAAAGCUUACCAAGGCAACGAUCAAUAGCUGAUUUGAGAGGAUGAUCAGCCACACUGGGACUGAGACACGGCCCAGACUCCUACGGGAGGCAGCAGUGGGGAAUCUUGCACAAUGGAGGAAACUCUGAUGCAGCGAUGCCGCGUGAGUGAAGAAGGCCCUUGGGUUGUAAAGCUCUUUUGUCGGGAAAGAUAAUGACUGUACCCGAAGAAUAAGGUCCGGC
Molecule: ribosomal RNA, 417 nt
Filed under: uncultured bacterium
Lineage: Bacteria
Description: bacterial SSU rRNA
Rfam family: Bacterial small subunit ribosomal RNA
Source: RNAcentral